RNAcentral lists this unclassified non-coding RNA (362 nucleotides) under Bombus terrestris (buff-tailed bumblebee). RNAcentral's name for it is "misc RNA ENSBTSG00005036269.1". The record is from RNAcentral. Lineage: Eukaryota; Metazoa; Arthropoda; Insecta; Hymenoptera; Apidae.
GAAUUUACUGUUCCUUGUUGCAGACCGUUUUCUAUGGAGAAUUCUUUGCUUGAUGUGUGUGAGCCGUCGGUCAUUAAGAAUGUUUUGUUUGUUAUCAUACUAUUUUAAUUAAGUAUUCUGGAAAGUUUUUUUUAAUCAUUUUGUAUAUAAGACCUGGGAUCCAGACUGUGUCGAAAGCUUUUUCGAGGUGUAUUAAGCAGGCGGCUACUCGUUACUUUGCGUUAAGUGCGCAGCAGAUGUCCGACGUAAGUUUAUUUAUUGCGUGGAUUGUGGAGUGCUUGUGCCGGAAGCCGAAUUGAUUUUCCGAGAUUACCUUAUUUUUUGACCAGAAGGCGGCUAGGAGGUUGUUUAUGACUAUUUCG